CCUACGGGGGGCAGCAGUAGGGAAUAUUGCUCAAUGGGGGAAACCCUGAAGCAGCAACGCCGCGUGGAGGAUGAAGGUUUUCGGAUUGUAAACCCCUUUUGUUAGAGAAGAAAAUGACGGUAUCUAACGAAUAAGCACCGGCUAACUCCGUGCCAGCAGCCGCGGUAAUACGGAGGGUGCAAGCGUUACUCGGAAUCACUGGGCGUAAAGAGCGCGUAGGCGGGAUAGCAAGUCAGAUGUGAAAUCCUAGGGCUUAACCAUAGAACUGCAUUUGAAACUGUUAUUCUAGAGUACUGGAGAGGUAGGCGGAAUUCUUGGUGUAGCGGUGAAAUCCGUAGAGAUCAAGAGGAAUACUCAUUGCGAAGGCGACCUGCUAGAACGUAACUGACGCUGAUGCUCGAAAGCGUGGGGAGCAAACAGGAUUAGAUACCCGAGUAGUC
RNAcentral lists this ribosomal RNA (440 nucleotides) under uncultured bacterium. RNAcentral describes it as "partial 16S ribosomal RNA". It matches the Rfam family "Bacterial small subunit ribosomal RNA", at positions 338 to 795 of the family's 1533-position model. The record is from RNAcentral.